ACCUGCUCGUGUUUGGCGGUUCACGAGUGUUCUCCACGGAGAUAACGUCCCCCUCUCGAGAUCAGAGGUCACUCACGUCGGCAGCUAUGCGGAGAGGCGGCAGCUGACCCACAUGGAUUGAUAAAUCCAGUAAGCUGGCUCUGGCUGGCCGAUCGGUAGCUGUUU
Molecule: long non-coding RNA, 165 nt
Organism: Penaeus chinensis
Lineage: Eukaryota; Metazoa; Arthropoda; Malacostraca; Decapoda; Penaeidae
Exons: 2
Source: RefSeq, a predicted model, not a curated record